GAGGCGUUUCCUUUAUUUUCGUUUCUCUAUUCGAGCUACCGAUCCGCCGCGCCGGGAAUGUUUCUAAUAAACCGAAGUCGACUAAUCAAAGAGAUGUCAUUGCUGUAUAGCCAUCUGAUUUUUCACGAAAGGUUGCAGCGACUUUUUUCUACAAAAGGUUCAUCUCGACUCUGCUCGACCCGAAAGAACGCCCAUGAGGCGUUCCUCUCGGGAAUCUUUCGAAUCUGCUUCGUUACGUUCGCUCUCGUGGCGUACGUCAUCGAAUUUUCGAUUAAUCAACACCUAAUCUGUCCAAGUUUCCGCUUAAUAGCGAAAUACAUUCGAUUUGUGUCUGCAAAUACGGAAAGAGGCGUCUUUUAUGAAUUUUAUGAGAUAUUUCUAAACGAUAUUAAACGAUUGAAAAGCGUUAUUCCGAUAAUGGUGAAUUAAAAACUUUUAUAAAGUAAGUUAUAUUUAUUAAGAAGAAAUAAACAUUUUAUUUUGAUUUUAACGGAUAUGUAUUAAACCGAGUAUUAAACUAAUUAAAUUAAAGUCUAAAAAUAGUUUCCGAUUCAUAAACUAUGCUUUUUGAUAAAUUAGUCAAUUUGCAGUGGCAUUCAGAAUAAAAACUAUUUAAAUCGACAUUUAUUAUAAUCACUAUGCAUAGUUAUUAAUCAUCAGUGAUGUUUGUCCCUACACCUGUUUAUAUAUUAUAUCUAAAUUUAUGUAUGAAAAUCACUAUACACUAUAUACUGCUAUAAAGUUUACUGUACCUUACUAUUAGUUUGCAAAGUUUGAUUCAUUAUGUUCACUGAUCAUUCACGUAUCAUUCAAUUUCAAUCAACGGAAGAGACAAAAUAAGAAGAGACGAUUGUAAUGUUCUUCGACCGCCUUCGAUUUAUCUUUCGAGCAUCGCUUGUUCAAAGUGUCAUUUGCUGUAGUCAUAUGAUUUGCAAAAGAGAGAUUUUUAUUUUUAUUAUUACUUUUAUGUGAAUUAUUAUAACACAUACACGCAUAUUGUUUUUAUUCAUAAUCUUUACCUUGCGGCUUAGGACUUUACCUAUAACUUUCAUAUAUUUACAAUAUUUGCACAUAUUUUUACAUUUUUGCACAGUUUUGUUUUACAAUACUUUUUGAUUACACACAUAUAUAUGGUAUCUUUUAAAUCUCGUUGAUGAAUUUAUUAUCUUUUGAUACUAUCCUUAUAUUUUCCAUACAUUUUUAAAUACGAAUGAAGAUAAACUUCGCCUUCGUAUUAAUGUCUAUCAAAA
Molecule: long non-coding RNA, 1250 nt
Organism: Ooceraea biroi (clonal raider ant)
Lineage: Eukaryota; Metazoa; Arthropoda; Insecta; Hymenoptera; Formicidae
Source: RefSeq, a predicted model, not a curated record